This 480-nucleotide ribosomal RNA is filed under the name uncultured bacterium. RNAcentral's name for it is "partial 16S ribosomal RNA". It matches the Rfam family "Bacterial small subunit ribosomal RNA", at positions 28 to 524 of the family's 1533-position model. The record is from RNAcentral.
GACGAACGCUGGCGGCGUGCUUAACACAUGCAAGUCGAACGAUGAACCCGGAGCUUGCUCCGGUGGAUUAGUGGCGAACGGGUGAGUAACACGUGAGUAACCUGCCCUUGACUCUGGGAUAACUGCGGGAAACUGUAGCUAAUACCGGAUACGACCCUCGGCGGCAUCGCCAGGGGGUGGAAAGAAUUUCGGUCAAGGAUGGACUCGCGGCCUAUCAGCUAGUUGGUGAGGUAACGGCUCACCAAGGCGACGACGGGUAGCCGGCCUGAGAGGGUGACCGGCCACACUGGGACUGAGACACGGCCCAGACUCCUACGGGAGGCAGCAGUGGGGAAUAUUGCACAAUGGGCGAAAGCCUGAUGGAGCGACGCCGCGUGAAGGAUGAGGCUUUUCGGAGUGUAAACUUCUUUUAUGUGGGAAGAUUAUGACGGUACCACAUGAAUAAGGACCGGCUAACUACGUGCCAGCAGCCGCCGCUAA